Vitis riparia (riverbank grape) is the source of this 765-nucleotide long non-coding RNA. RefSeq lists it as uncharacterized. The transcript has 2 exons. The record is from RefSeq and is a predicted model, not a curated record. NCBI's taxonomy places the organism in Eukaryota, Viridiplantae, Streptophyta, Magnoliopsida, Vitales, Vitaceae.
GCAUUAAAUUGCUAAAAUUUGUCAUCCAAAGUUCCAAUUUCUUUUGAACCUUGAAGACUUCAUUUGCAUUCUUGUAGGAAUUAGAUGUGGAAUCAUUUUGCAAUGCUUGUGGUCUUGAGACCAGCAGUGAUGAAUGGGGAAAUAAGUUCUUAUCAACCAAGCAAACAAACUUCCAUUAUCCCAAGGAAGUCUUUCCAAGCUACUGCCUUAUGGGUUUGGAACACUUUUAGAGAAACAUGCAAAACUCCAUGAAUCUAUGGUGCUAUGGUGGCCUACAUUCAUAUAACUGGGGACACUUUGGUUUACACCACAAUGACCCCAAACAGGGUUUGUAGAGGCUUUAUCAAGAUCACUAGCUUUAAAAGACUAAGGAAAGAAAGAUGUUCUCAAUGAAAACUUGGAGUCAAAUUGCAGAUAAAGACCUAAAACUCCCAUUCAAUGUGUUUUAGGAAUUGUUGUUUCAUGGGAUAAGCUGCUUGGUUUGUACAUGUCUCCUUGGUGAUACUUAGAGAUUGGAAAAGUAUACUCUCCUUUGUGAUCUGGUUUGUAUAUGGGCAGAUGAAUGUUCAUGCCAGGUUCAUAUAUGUUUCUGACAUAUAUCACCCUGGAAGGAUCUAGAUCAAGGGGAUGAGUUUGAAAAGCUUGAGUAGGUUUAAGAUGUUCCCAGAAUUGGUGAGCAUGAUAUAUAUCAACAUGAUAUUGCAGAAGACAACAGAGCUUCUGAAAUAUAUCAGGUUCAAUAGUAGGAAAUCUUAUCAGCUGUCA